AACAAAGGUAACUAAGAUUAGAAUUAUGUAUAAGAGAGAGAUUCACUCAUGCAGAUAACUUUAGAAUUGUCUACAUGAGUGAAUAACUCUUAUACAGAGUGUCCUAAAGUAGUGAACCUUUAGAAAUCACCUUAUGUUAUUUAUAAUUUGAAGAUCUAUUUUAAAACUACACUCGAGUGACAGAGGAGUAACGGACGACUACAGACGAGUAACAGACGACUAUAGACCAGUAAAUUUUCUAAAUACGACUAUUAAACAGUAUUUUGACGGAUUG
This is a non-coding RNA of Paramuricea clavata, 274 nucleotides long. The record is from the annotation of a GenBank genome assembly. NCBI's taxonomy places the organism in Eukaryota, Metazoa, Cnidaria, Anthozoa, Malacalcyonacea, Plexauridae.